Molecule: ribosomal RNA, 253 nt
Filed under: uncultured bacterium
Lineage: Bacteria
Description: partial 16S ribosomal RNA
Rfam family: Bacterial small subunit ribosomal RNA
Source: RNAcentral
UACGUAGGUGACAAGCGUUGUCCGGAUUUACUGGGCGUAAAGAGCGCGCAGGCGGUCGUUCAAGUCGAGUGUGAAAGCCCCCGGCUCAACUGGGGAGGGUCAUUCGAUACUGAUCGGCUCGAAGGCAGGAGAGGGAAGUGGAAUUCCCGGUGUAGCGGUGAAAUGCGCAGAUAUCAGGAGGAACACCUAUUGCGAAGGCAGCUCGCUGGGACGUAACUGACGCUGAGACGCGAAAGCGUGGGGAGCAAACAGG